CUGCGUGUCGCCUGACGACAGCUUUUCGAACUCCGCCAGCAGUUCUUUCUGCUUUUUGGUCAGAUUUUGCGGCGUUUCGACCACGACCUGAACGUACAGGUCGCCCGUCUGCCGGGAACGCAGCACAGGCAUGCCUUUGCCGGCNACGGAAGCGGCGGCCGGACUGGGUGCCUGACGGCACCUUGACCUUGGUCUUGCCCUUGUCGAUGGUCGGCACGUCGAACUCGCCGCCCAUCGCGGCGGUCACCAUCGACACCGGAACGCGGCAAUGCAGAUCGGCGCCGUCGCGCUGGAAGAACUUGUGCGCCGCCAGCGACAGGAAGAUGUAGAGAUCGCCCGCAGGACCGCCCUGCACGCCCGCCUCGCCUUCGCCAGCGAGACGGAUACGGGUGCCGUCCUCGACUCCCUGCGGGAUGUUGACCGACAGCGUGCGCUCCUUCUGAACGC
RNAcentral lists this unclassified non-coding RNA (447 nucleotides) under Hevea brasiliensis (rubber tree). The record is from RNAcentral. Lineage: Eukaryota; Viridiplantae; Streptophyta; Magnoliopsida; Malpighiales; Euphorbiaceae.